Molecule: ribosomal RNA, 465 nt
Filed under: uncultured beta proteobacterium
Lineage: Bacteria; Pseudomonadati; Pseudomonadota; Betaproteobacteria
Description: bacterial SSU rRNA
Rfam family: Bacterial small subunit ribosomal RNA
Source: RNAcentral
CCUACGGGCGGCUGCAGUGGGGAAUUUUGGACAAUGGGGGAAACCCUGAUCCAGCCAUGCCGCGUGAGUGAAGAAGGCCUUCGGGUUGUAAAGCUCUUUCAGCAGGAACGAAACGGUAAGCUUUAAUAAAGUUUGCUAAUGACGGUACCUGAAGAAGAAGCACCGGCUAACUACGUGCCAGCAGCCGCGGUAAUACGUAGGGUGCGAGCGUUAAUCGGAAUUACUGGGCGUAAAGCGUGCGCAGGCGGUUUUGUAAGACAGAUGUGAAAUCCCCGGGCUUAACCUGGGAACUGCGUUUGUGACUGCAAGACUAGAGUGUGGCAGAGGGGGGUAGAAUUCCACGUGUAGCAGUGAAAUGCGUAGAGAUGUGGAGGAAUACCGAUGGCGAAGGCAGCCCCCUGGGUCAACACUGACGCUCAUGCACGAAAGCGUGGGGAGCAAACAGGAUUAGAUACCCCAGUAGUC